UUUUCAUUCGUGUCUUCAAAUAUGUCAUUGGUGUGAACACUUGCCAACAUUGAGCGUAUGUUUUCCUCCUCUUUAAUUUCCUCACGAAGCUUCAUCCCCUUAUCGUCCAUCAUGUCCUAAACCAAGACCUUGAAUUCCACAUUCUCUUGGGUCUCGAACCCCCUCUCGUGAUGGAAAUCGCAAUGGUUCCGUGUCUUUCCC
RNAcentral lists this long non-coding RNA (201 nucleotides) under Gossypium raimondii (Peruvian cotton). RNAcentral describes it as "long non-coding RNA (GRAI_LNC007446)". Lineage: Eukaryota; Viridiplantae; Streptophyta; Magnoliopsida; Malvales; Malvaceae. The record is from RNAcentral.